This 1400-nucleotide ribosomal RNA is filed under the name uncultured bacterium. RNAcentral's name for it is "16S ribosomal RNA". It matches the Rfam family "Bacterial small subunit ribosomal RNA". The record is from RNAcentral.
AGAGUUUGAUCCUGGUUCAGGAUGAACGCUAGCGGCAGGCUUAACACAUGCAAGUCGAGGGGCAUCCGGAGGGAAGCUUGCUUUCAUUGCCGGCGACCGUGCCUCGGGUGAGAAACACGAAUGCCACCUGCCCUCUUCGCGGGGACAACCUUCACAAAGGGAGGCUAAUCCCGCUUAUAUCGGUUUCGGGCUUCCAACAUCGAGGAAAGAUUCAUCGAAAUAUGAUGGGCGUGCAGCGCCUUACCUAUAAUGCGGGGUAACGGCCCGCCGCGGCCACCAUGCCUAAGGAUUCUGAGAGGAACGUCCCCCACAGUGGCACUGAUACAAAGACCAAACUCCUACGGGAUGCAGCAGUGAGGAAUAUUGGUCAAUGGGAGAGAUCUUGACCCAGCCAAUCGGCGUGAGGGAAGACGCCCUUAUGGUUGGUAACCUUCUUUGUUAGGAGACCAAACCCCGGGAGGAGUCCCGGAAUGAGUGUAUCUGAAGAAAAAGCAUCGGCUAACUCCGUGCCAGCAGCCGCGGUAAUACGGAGGAUGCGAGCGUUAUCCGGAUUUAUUGGGUUUAAAGGGUGCGUAGGCGGUCCGUUAAGUCAGCGGUAAAAUUGCGGGGCUCAACCCCGUCGAGCCGUUGAAACUGCCAGACUUGAGUGGGCGAGAAGUACGCGGAAUGCGUGGUGUAGCGGUGAAAUGCAUAGAUAUCGCGCAGAACUCCGAUUGCGAAGGCAGCGUACCGGCGCCAGACUGACGCUGAGGCACGAAAGCGUGGGGAUCGAACAGGAUUAGAUACCCUGGUAGUCCACGCAGUAAACGAUGAAUGCUGGUUGUCGGGGUUGACCGAGAUGUGGGCCGGGAAGAGAAAUCGAUAUGCCUUCCGCGGGGGGAGUAGGCAGGCAACGAGUGUCACUCAAAGGAAUGGGCGGGGGCCCGAACGAACGGAGGUACAUGUGGUUUUAAUUGGAUGAUAAGGGACGAACCUUGCCCGGGCUCACAGGGGAGUCGAUCGGACCAGAGACGGUUCCCCGCAAGGGUCGUUUCCGAGGUGCUGCAUGGUUGUCGUCAGCUCGUGCCGUGAGGUGUCGGCUUAAGUGCCAUAACGAGCGCAACCCCCGCCGGCAGUUGCUAACGGGCAAUGCAGAGGACUCUGUCGGGACUGCCGCCGCAAGGCGAGAGGAAGGCGGGGAUGACGUCAAAUCAGCACGGCCCUUACGUCCGGGGCGACACACGUGUUACAAUGGCAGGUACAGCGGGAAGCCAGGCGGCGACCCCGAGCGGAACCCGAAAGCCGUUCUCAGUUCGGAUCGGAGUCUGCAACCCGACUCCGUGAAGCUGGAUUCGCUAGUAAUCGCGCAUCAGCCACGGCGCGGUGAAUACGUUCCCGGGCCUUGCACACACCGCCCGUCA